This 253-nucleotide ribosomal RNA is filed under the name uncultured bacterium. Its description in RNAcentral is "partial 16S ribosomal RNA". It matches the Rfam family "Bacterial small subunit ribosomal RNA", at positions 524 to 776 of the family's 1533-position model. The record is from RNAcentral.
UACGGGGGGGGCAAGCGUUGUUCGGAAUUACUGGGCGUAAAGGGCUCGUAGGCGGCCAACUAAGUCAGACGUGAAAUCCCUCGGCUUAACCGGGGAACUGCGUCUGAUACUGGAUGGCUUGAGGUUGGGAGAGGGAUGCGGAAUUCCAGGUGUAGCGGUGAAAUGCGUAGAUAUCGUUUGGAACGCCAACGGUGAAAACAGACAGCUGGGAGUGUGCUGACGCUGAGACACGAAAGCCAGGGGAGCGAACAGG